AAAUCAAAAUCCGACCCCAGCAUUAGCCACGGGGUAGAUGUUCCUCCUGAGAAAGGCAGGAUUUCCCUU
This is a non-coding RNA of Oryctolagus cuniculus (rabbit), 69 nucleotides long. The record is from Rfam. Lineage: Eukaryota; Metazoa; Chordata; Mammalia; Lagomorpha; Leporidae.